GGGGAUGUACCUCAACGGUGGAGUACUUGCCUGGCAUGCAUGAAGCUCUGGAUUCAAAUCCGCCUCCCCCA
RNAcentral lists this transfer RNA (71 nucleotides) under Heterocephalus glaber (naked mole-rat). It matches the Rfam family "tRNA". Rfam says of the family: Transfer RNA (tRNA) molecules are approximately 80 nucleotides in length. Their secondary structure includes four short double-helical elements and three loops (D, anti-codon, and T loops). The record is from Rfam by way of RNAcentral. Lineage: Eukaryota; Metazoa; Chordata; Mammalia; Rodentia; Bathyergidae.